Molecule: ribosomal RNA, 2014 nt
Filed under: Rhynchopus sp. ATCC 50229
Lineage: Eukaryota; Euglenozoa; Diplonemea; Diplonemida; Diplonemidae
Description: SSU rRNA
Rfam family: Eukaryotic small subunit ribosomal RNA
Source: RNAcentral
GUAGUCAUAUGCUUGUUUCAAGGAUUAAGCCAUGCAAGUCUCAGAGUAAAUGGAUUACCAGUGGAUCUGCAAACGGCUCAUUAAAUCAGCUACAAUCUACGAGGGAACGCAGCCUUUUGGCGCCAGUGGGAUAACAAUGGUAACUCCAUUGCUAAUACCUGUCCGAAAAAUCCCACUCGGUUCAAGUUGUUGGGGGAAACUCUAGCAGCUCGAGGGGGAUGCAGUUGACCGAAACGAGAACCAACGCUAGUAAUAGCAGUGGUUUGGUGGAUGAAACAGGUCAACCGAGCAAUAGCACAUGCUUUAAGCUGGUGCAAGCCCUCAAGAGUAUCUGCCCUAUCAGCUUUUGACGGUAGUGUAGUGGACUACCGUGGCAGUAACGGGUAACGGGGAAUUAGGGUUCGAUUCCGGAGAGGGAGCCUGAGAAACGGCUACCACAUCUAAGGAUGGCAGCAGGCGCGCAAAUUGCCCAAUAGCAACACUGCUGAGGCAGCGAAGAGAAAUAGAGACUUCUGAUGCUACGCAUUAUGGAGCUUUCAAUGGAUGAUAUCUAAACCUGUCAAUGAGUAACGAUUGGAGGACAAGUCUGGUGCCAGCACCCGCCGUAAUUCCAGCACCGGAUUCGUAUAUUAAUGCUGCUGCUGUUAAAAAGCUCGUAGUUGGAUCCAGGGUUCAGGUUGUAGGGUGCCAUGCUUUUCUGGUUGGGCGUGUAGUCUGGUCAGAGGGUAUGGGUCAAACAUUCUGCAUUAAAACCUGCGCUAUAUCAAGGUGGUGAAUGGUGCCCUGCGAUUAAGUCUUCGGACCGAAAGCACCUCCGCGCAAACCACGCGCUCAUGGGUCGACCACCGAUGUUACUGUGAACAAACCAGCGUGUCCAAAGCAGGCGAAAGUCAUAUGAAUGGUAAAGCAUGGAAUAACAAGGGAUCGACCAUCUUGGUCCUUCUUGUUGGUUCUCAAUCCGAGAAUGGGGAAUUCAAGCAGUCCGGUCCCUCUGAAAGCUUUGCUGAUGAGAACCUCUGCCGAACGGGAUCAAUAGGGACUGCCGGGGCCGUACGUACUCAUGCGUCAGAGGUGAAAUUCUUAGAUCGCAUGAAGACGAACUUCUGCGAAAGCAUUCGGCAAGAAUGUCUUCAUUAAUCAAGAACGAGAGUGUGGGGAUCGAAGAUGAUCAGACACCGUCGUAGUCCACGACUGUAAACGAUGCCGUCUCAGGAUCGAAGGGCGCAUUAUUUCAUGACCCCUACGGCACUACCCUCUGAAACGAGAAAUCAAAGAUUAUGGGUUCAGGGGGGAGUACAUUCGCAAGGCUGAAACUUAAAGGAAUUGACGGAAUGACACCACCAGGCGUGGAGUAUGCGGCUUAAUUUGACUCAACACGGGGAAUUUUACUAGGUCAGGACAAUGUAAGGAUUGACAGAUUGAGAGCUUUUUCUUGAUUAAUUGUGUGGUGGUGCAUGGCCGCUCCUGGUUGGUGGAGUGAUUUGUCUGGUUGAUUCCGUUAACGAACGAGAUCUCGACCCUUAAAUAGGUGACCCGGUUGCUCCGUAUGGACCGGAACACCUGUUCCGGAAACAUGGGCACAACUUCUUAAGGGGACUGUGCGCGUCUCUAGCGCGCGGAAGAGCGAGCCAAUAGCAGGUCUGUGAUGCUCCUAAAUGUCCUAGGCUGCACGCGCACUACACUGACGCAUUCAACGAGUCUGAUUGCCUUUCGGCAACCUAUCUUGAAGAGGACGGGAAAUCUUAUGAACUUGCGUCGUGAUGAGGAUAGAUGAUUGCAAUUAUUCUCCUUGAAUGAGGAAUGCCUAGUAGGCGCAAGUCAUCAGCUUGCACUGAUUACGUCCCUGCCAUUUGUACACACCGCCCGUCGUUGCUACCGAUUGGCUGUGGGAUAAAGCUUGGGGGAGGGGAUGAUCUCGCUUCGGCGGUGAUUUCCCAAAUCCAAGCAAUAUUGCUCAGCUAGAGGAAGCGAAAGUCGUAACAAGGUUGCUGUAGGUGAACCUGCAGAAGGAUCA